ACCCCCCUGGACAGGGGAGGGCCGUGGGGAACCCACCCUGUUCUGGGUCAGAGAGGAAGGCGGCUCACCUCUCAUUCACUUCCAGCUUCACCCCCGAGCUGGCGUGGCGGGCCUGGUUCAUCAUGUCCUACAGCCAACGACAGAGCUGUGAGUGCGGGAGGGUGAGGUGGGGAGAGCUCCCCCCCCUCCCCAAGCCUGUGGUCCUGAGGAACAGAUCAGGGCAGGAAAGCCAGGGCUACCCUCCUACCCUCCCGGCUCUGACCUCAGGGGCCCUGGAAAACGUUUUCUGUCCCCUGCCUGUAGCCCCCAAGGCACUGUGGGAACUGAGGAGUCCCCGCACAACUCUCCUCACCUCGAUCCUUCGCACAGCAUCUUCAAUGGCCGCAGACGUGGCUGCCAUCUCCUUGUCCACCAUGGCCCCCAGCUCCUCCUGCCGCACAUCCAGGCUCUUGGGCUUUAGCUCCUGGGGAAGGCAGGAGUCAGACUGGGUGGGCUCAAUCCCACCAACCCCACAGGGCUUGGGGAGGGGAGGAGUGGUUCCUGCCCAGGGCCCGCCCCACUGCCUGGGAUCUUGUGCCUCACCUGGCCCAGCCGAAGGAUGCCCUGCAGUGGAGCUCGUAACAGGCCCAGCUGUGCCCGCCGCAGAGCCUGCUGGUCCUGCAGCUGCCCCACAAGCUCCAGCGCCCGGGCCCCGCACUCCCUGCAUGUGUCAAUCAGGCCUGAGUAGGAAGAAAGCCCCCUGUGAUGCUGCAGCACAGGCCCCCUUCCCAGGCUGAAAGACCCCUGGGGAGACGAGCCGGUGAGGUGGCUGACCCUGCCGCCCAGGCCCCACUUACGGUCAGCAAGGUCGGUGGGGGCCAGGUGGGAGGUGGCAAUGCCAUUGACGAUGGUGUCCGCAGCCAGGUGGGAAAACCGGGUCAGGGCUGCCACCAGGGAGGAGGCAUCUGUGCAGAAGGACAGCCAUGAGAUGCUAGCACAGGGCCAUGGUCACCAGCAGCCUGCCCUGCCUCAUCCUCUCAGCAAACCCCAGACAAGGACCAGGAAAGAGGGUGCGGCCCAAGGUCAAGCAGCCCCAAGGGCCACAGGAACCAAGCUGGGUUCCGUGGGGCCCCAGCCUGUUUGCCCAUGAGGCCGGCUGGGCUCCUGGGGGGAGGGGCGGAGCCUCUGCUGAGCUGCCUGCUGAGGUUCCUGGUGUGCAGAAAACCUCUGCCAAAGGGACAAGGCAGCCACGAGGGCUGGACCCAGGCCCUAGCCCACCGGCCUGCUGCCCUGCUCCCCCCAAUUCACCUGCCAAGGAGGUGAGGUACUGGGCGUGGCCCUCCUCCAGGGCACUCACGGAGUCCAGGGCAGCCUGGGCCCUGCUCACCAGGUAGUCUGCAAGCAGAGAGAGAAACUGAGGCCCCGGCCGCCGCUUCUCAGUGUUGGGGACGCGAAGGAGGCGUUUGCGGGAUGGCCUCCGCCUCGGCCGCAGCGCCCCUCAGCACUGCAAACUGCUCGUCCAGCAGCUUCUGCCGCAGCCCCUGCUCCUGCAACUCCUGGCAGGAGUGGGGACAGGCGGCUCAGAGAACGCACCCCAAGUCAGGCCCAGCUGAGACCCUCACGGUGGAGACGGCCAAAGAGGGGCGUUACUCCAUCCCCCCAAGGCCUGAGCUGCUGCCUCUCAAGAGCGGGGUGAACAGCUGAGUAAUGAAAAGAUAACCCUGUGAUCUAAACAGACAUUUCCCCAAAGAUGCACCACUGGCCAGGGAGCAGGUGAAGGGGCGCACAUUAGCCCUUAGGGAAAUGCAAAUCGAAACCACUUCACACCCCUUUGGGAUGGCCAAAAUAAAGGCAGACAAUGCUAAGUGUU
Molecule: long non-coding RNA, 1849 nt
Organism: Lemur catta (Ring-tailed lemur)
Lineage: Eukaryota; Metazoa; Chordata; Mammalia; Primates; Lemuridae
Exons: 2
Source: RefSeq, a predicted model, not a curated record